This 253-nucleotide ribosomal RNA is filed under the name uncultured bacterium. Its description in RNAcentral is "partial 16S ribosomal RNA". It matches the Rfam family "Bacterial small subunit ribosomal RNA", at positions 524 to 776 of the family's 1533-position model. The record is from RNAcentral.
GACGGAGGAGGAAAGAGUUAUCCGGAAUUAUUGGGCGUAAAGGGUACGUAGGCGGCUGGCCAAGUCUGGGGUCAAAGGCCACAGCUCAACUGUGGGAAGGCCCUGGAAACUGACCGGCUAGAGUGAGGUAGGGGUUGCGGGAAUUCCCGGUGUAGCGGUGAAAUGCGUAGAGAUCGGGAAGAACACCUGAGGCGGAAGCGCGCAACUGGGCCUCAACUGACGCUGAGGUACGAAAGCUAGGGGAGCGAAUGGG